RNAcentral lists this ribosomal RNA (314 nucleotides) under uncultured bacterium. Its description in RNAcentral is "partial 16S ribosomal RNA". It matches the Rfam family "Bacterial small subunit ribosomal RNA", at positions 495 to 807 of the family's 1533-position model. The record is from RNAcentral.
GUAUAAGAGACAGCAGUCGCCACGGUAAUACAGAGGGUGCGAGCGUUAAUCGGAUUUACUGGGCGUAAAGCGUGCGUAGGCGGCUUCUUAAGUCGGAUGUGAAAUCCCUGAGCUUAACUUAGGAAUUGCAUUCGAUACUGGGAAGCUAGAGUAUGGGAGAGGAUGGUAGAAUUCCAGGUGUAGCGGUGAAAUGCGUAGAGAUCUGGAGGAAUACCGAUGGCGAAGGCAGCCAUCUGGCCUAAUACUGACGCUGAGGUACGAAAGCAUGGGGAGCAAACAGGAUUAGAUACCCCUGUAGUCCCUGUCUCUUAUAC